Molecule: ribosomal RNA, 821 nt
Filed under: uncultured bacterium
Lineage: Bacteria
Description: bacterial SSU rRNA
Rfam family: Bacterial small subunit ribosomal RNA
Source: RNAcentral
AACGAACGCUGGCGGCGUGCCUAACACAUGCAAGUCGAACGCGAAAGGGGGCAACCCCCGGUAGCGUGGCAGACGGGUGAGUAACACGUGGGUAACCUACCCGGAGGUGGGGGAUAACCCUUCGAAAGGAGGGCUAAUACCGCAUAAUACCGUGGGGACCUCGGUCCUUGCGAUCAAAGCUGGCCUCUGUUUACAAGCUAGCGCCACCGGAUGGGCCCGCGCCCCAUUAGCUAGUUGGUGAGGUAACGGCUCACCAAGGCGACGAUGGGUAGCCGGCCUGAGAGGGCGAUCGGCCACACUGGAACUGCGACACGGUCCAGACUCCUACGGGAGGCAGCAGUGAGGAAUCUUGCGCAAUGGGGGAAACCCUGACGCAGCAACGCCGCGUGGGUGAAGAAGGCCUUCGGGUCGUAAAGCCCUUUCGGACGGGACGAACGCUUUGCGGUGAAAGCCGCGAAGUCUGACGGUACCGUAGGAAGAAGCACCGGCUAACUCCGUGCCAGCAGCCGCGGUAAUACGGAGGGUGCGAGCGUUGUUCGGAAUUACUGGGCGUAAAGCGCGUGUAGGCGGCCUUGCAAGUCAGGCGUGAAAGCCCUCGGCUUAACCGGGGAAGUGCGUCUGAAACUGCUUGGCUUGAGUACGGGAGAGGGAGGCGGAAUUCCCAGUGUAGAGGUGAAAUUCGUAGAUAUUGGGAGGAACACCGGUGGCGAAAGCGGCCUCCUGGACCGAUACUGACGCUGAGACGCGAAAGCGUGGGGAGCAAACAGGAUUAGAUACCCUGGUAGUCCACGCGGUAAACGAUGGGCACUAGGUGUGGGGGG